GGAGUUGUGGCUCAGUGGUAGAGUGCUCGUCUUACAUGCGUGAGGCACCGGGUUCAAUCCUCAACACCA
Molecule: transfer RNA, 69 nt
Filed under: Marmota marmota marmota (Alpine marmot)
Lineage: Eukaryota; Metazoa; Chordata; Mammalia; Rodentia; Sciuridae
Also listed under: 1 other name
Rfam family: tRNA
About the family: Transfer RNA (tRNA) molecules are approximately 80 nucleotides in length. Their secondary structure includes four short double-helical elements and three loops (D, anti-codon, and T loops).
Source: Rfam by way of RNAcentral